GCAAGGCAGACACCCCCGCAGCAGAAGUGGGACAACCGCCGCUAGGGUGGCUCUCUUCCCGCUCCGCAGGCGAGAGGCGCGUUCAACAUCCAAUCUGCUUCCUAUCGCUGGCACGUAGACCCUACGUGGGAUCCACAUCAGUGGUCAGGGCGGUACCUACACCGAAGCCAGUGUCCCAGUCCGUCCCAUAAGGAUGCGCUUCGGAGAUCCCUCCUCGUCGUGCCAGGACAUUGCUCAGCACCUUCUUCUUGUGUUGCACAACGUCUAUGAUGGCCCAAAUCUAAAUUCACCAAAAAAUACGACAAAAACGUCAUUUGUGGCACCCCCUAGUGCGCUCAGGGGCCACUACACCGUACCUGAUCGUUCGGCCCCACAGAGACACAGCAGACAUCUUCCGAGACCAGAAUCCAGGCAGUGCCUUCGGGAAAGAUUGGCAGCACUUCGGCGCGGUACCAGAGGCGGCGCGCCGUGUCGACCGCGCAGACGACUGACUUUCCCAUGGAGACCUGGGCCAAGCAUGACCCAGAGGGUGGCUCCACAUGGAACCAGGUGGUUCCUGUUGAUCGGGUGGUCAGGAACGAGAUGCCUCUUGAUAAGAGACAGGGCAGAGUGACCCUG
Ornithodoros turicata is the source of this 618-nucleotide long non-coding RNA. RefSeq lists it as uncharacterized. The transcript has 3 exons. NCBI's taxonomy places the organism in Eukaryota, Metazoa, Arthropoda, Arachnida, Ixodida, Argasidae. The record is from RefSeq and is a predicted model, not a curated record.